RNAcentral lists this long non-coding RNA (218 nucleotides) under Sus scrofa (pig). Its description in RNAcentral is "lncRNA (ENSSSCG00045001412.1)". The record is from RNAcentral. Lineage: Eukaryota; Metazoa; Chordata; Mammalia; Artiodactyla; Suidae.
CAACUGAGGAAAAAUAUCUUCCCUCCUAUGAGUAACAGUAGAACAAUGGAAAAAGUUCUAAACUGGAAUCAGAAGACUGGGCUCCGUCUUCAGUUCUGCUUCCUCAAUGUAUCCACCUGCCCCACAGGCAGCUGGCCCUCCGUUGGCCCUCACUCUCUCUCACACACCCUGAGUCCCACUGCAAGGAGGUGGUCCCCAGGCCUGAGGGGAACAGCACU